GAUUGGAAGGGUUCUUGUAACAUACCGAACUUCUAAAAUCAUGAAGUCACGGUGUACAUUUAAAUGGUUCCCGUGAGGUUGCGGUAGAAUGUAACAUACCGGAUUUUAAAUAUAAAAAUAAAAAUAAAUAAAAAUAGUAUGAGAUACUAUUUUAUCGGAUUUAGAGAAGCGAAAUAUAGGUUGGGAGUGACCUGUGCUGAAAUCGGAGCGAAAACAAAAGAUUUAGAAUUUUAUGUGAGAAACGGGGCAGAUAAAUUAGCAAAAAAUGCACAGUGUCAGAAAAUUAUGAAAAUUGGAGGAGAUGUCAGAAAUAUUUUUGUGAGGUUAGAUUUAAAGUUUCAUGUUAUUCUGACACCCGUAGAGAGAGAAAUAAAAUCCGAAAGCUAUCUGAUAAAGAUUGCAGUUCGGUACAGUUUAGUGACCAAACGGGGUCGAAACUGAAAUAUUAAAAUUUCUUUGGACUUAUUAAGUAAAACCGAACAUGUCUGUCAAAUUUGAGCUCAAACGGACAUUCAGAAGG
Molecule: long non-coding RNA, 520 nt
Filed under: Ananas comosus (pineapple)
Lineage: Eukaryota; Viridiplantae; Streptophyta; Magnoliopsida; Poales; Bromeliaceae
Description: long non-coding RNA (ACOM_LNC008889)
Source: RNAcentral